RNAcentral lists this ribosomal RNA (484 nucleotides) under uncultured bacterium. Its description in RNAcentral is "partial 16S ribosomal RNA". It matches the Rfam family "Bacterial small subunit ribosomal RNA", at positions 30 to 507 of the family's 1533-position model. The record is from RNAcentral.
AUUGAACGCUGGCGGCAGGCCUAACACAUGCAAGUCGAGCGGAUGAAGGGAGCUUGCUCCUGGAUUCAGCGGCGGACGGGUGAGUAAUGCCUAGGAAUCUGCCUGGUAGUGGGGGAUAACGUCCGGAAACGGGCGCUAAUACCGCAUACGUCCUGAGGGAGAAAGUGGGGGAUCUUCGGACCUCACGCUCUCAGAUGAGCCUAGGUCGGAUUAGCUAGUUGGUGGGGUAAAGGCCUACCAAGGCGACGAUCCGUAACUGGUCUGAGAGGAUGAUCAGUCACACUGGAACUGAGACACGGUCAAGACUCCUACGGGAGGCAGCAGUGGGGAAUAUUGGACAAUGGGCGAAAGCCUGAUCCAGCCAUGCCGCGUGUGUGAAGAAGGUCUUCGGAUUGUAAAGCACUUUAAGUUGGGAGGAAGGGCAGUAAGUUAAUACCUUGCUGUUUUGACGUUACCAACAGAAUAAGCACCGGCUAACUUCGUG